UCGGAUAUAGAGACCGGCGCACGGGUGCGUAACGCGUAUGCAAUCUACCUUUUACAGAGGGAUAGCCCAGAGAAAUUUGGAUUAAUACCUCAUAGUAUAGCUCUACCGCAUGGUAGUACUAUUAAAGUCACAACGGUAAAAGAUGAGCAUGCGUCCCAUUAGCUAGUUGGUAAGGUAACGGCUUACCAAGGCAACGAUGGGUAGGGGUCCUGAGAGGGAGAUCCCCCACACUGGUACUGAGACACGGACCAGACUCCUACGGGAGGCAGCAGUGAGGAAUAUUGGACAAUGGGCGCAAGCCUGAUCCAGCCAUGCCGCGUGCAGGAUGACGGUCCUAUGGAUUGUAAACUGCUUUUGUACGAGAAGAAACACUGCUUCGUGAAGCAGCUUGACGGUAUCGUAAGAAUAAGGGUCGGCUAACUCCGUGCCAGCAGCCGCGGUAAUACGGAGGAUCCAAGCGUUAUCCGGAAUCAUUGGGUUUAAAGGGUCCGUAGGCGGUUUAGUAAGUCAGUGGUGAAAGCCCAUCGCUCAACGGUGGAACGGCCAUUGAUACUGCUGAACUUGAAUUAUUAGGAAGUAACUAGAAUAUGUAGUGUAGCGGUGAAAUGCUUAGAGAUUACAUGGAAUACCAAUUGCG
Molecule: ribosomal RNA, 637 nt
Filed under: uncultured Flavobacteriales bacterium
Lineage: Bacteria; Pseudomonadati; Bacteroidota; Flavobacteriia; Flavobacteriales
Description: bacterial SSU rRNA
Rfam family: Bacterial small subunit ribosomal RNA
Source: RNAcentral